GACGAACGCUGGCGGCGUGCUUAACACAUGCAAGUCGAACGGGUCUGCCCUGUUUUUUGCGGGGUGGGUCAGUGGCGAACGGGUGAGUAACACGUGAGUAACCUGCCCCUCACUUCUGGAUAACCGCUUGAAAGGGUGGCUAAUACGGGGUGUUCUGGCUGUGCCGCAUGGUGUGGCUGGGAAAGAUUCACUUUUGUGGUGUUUUGGUGGGGGAUGGGCUCGCGGCCUAUCAGCUUGUUGGUGGGGUGAUGGCCUGCCAAGGCUUUGACGGGUAGCCGGCCUGAGAGGGUGGGCGGUCACACUGGGACUGAGAUACGGCCCAGACUCCUGCGGGAGGCAGCAGUGGGGGGUAUUGCACAAUGGGCGGAAGCAUGAUGCAGCGACGUCGCGUGAGGGAUGGAGGCCUUCGGGUUGUGAACCUCUUUCGCCGGUGAAGAAGGUCCUGCUCUUUGUGGUGGGGUUGACGGUAGCCGGGUUAUGAAGCGCCGGCUAACUACGUG
Molecule: ribosomal RNA, 500 nt
Filed under: uncultured bacterium
Lineage: Bacteria
Description: partial 16S ribosomal RNA
Rfam family: Bacterial small subunit ribosomal RNA
Source: RNAcentral